UAGGGAAUAUUGCGCAAUGGGGGAAACCCUGACGCAGCAACGCCGCGUGAAGGAUGGAGGCCUUCGGGUCGUAAACUUCUGUCAAAAGGGAAGAAGGUCCAUCGGUUAAUAGCCGGUGUACUUGACGGUACCUUUAGAGGAAGCCCCGGCUAACUCCGUGCCAGCAGCCGCGGUAAUACGGAGGGGGCAAGCGUUAUUCGGAAUUAUUGGGCGUAAAGGGCGUGUAGGCGGCCUGACAGGUCAAAGGUGAAAUCCCUCGGCUCAACCGAGGAACUGCCUUUGAAACCUUCAGGCUAGAGGCCGGGAGAGGCUAGCGGAAUUCCCAGUGUAGCGGUGAAAUGCGUAGAUAUUGGGAGGAACACCAGUGGCGAAGGCGGCUAGCUGGACCGGUUCUGACGCUGAGGCGCGAAAGCGUGGGGAGCAAACAGGAUUAGAUACCCCCGUAGUCC
RNAcentral lists this ribosomal RNA (449 nucleotides) under uncultured prokaryote. Its description in RNAcentral is "bacterial SSU rRNA". It matches the Rfam family "Bacterial small subunit ribosomal RNA", at positions 355 to 796 of the family's 1533-position model. The record is from RNAcentral.